This 408-nucleotide ribosomal RNA is filed under the name uncultured bacterium. Its description in RNAcentral is "partial 16S ribosomal RNA". It matches the Rfam family "Bacterial small subunit ribosomal RNA", at positions 28 to 526 of the family's 1533-position model. The record is from RNAcentral.
GACGAACGCUGGCGGCGUGCUUAACACAUGCAAGUCGAACGAAGUGGCGAACGGGUGAGUAACGCGUAAUCAACCUGCCCUUCAGAGGGGGACAACAGUUGGAAACGACUGCUAAUACCGCAUACGGAAGGAGGGGUAUGCGUCUGAUUAGCUAGUUGGAGGGGUAAUGGGCAACCAAGGCGAUGAUCAGUAGCCGGGCUGGGAGGAUGAACGGCCAAAUUGGGACUGGGACACGGCCCAGACCCCUACGGGAGGCAGCAAGGGGGAAUCUUCCGAAAUGGAGGAAAGUCUGACGGAGCAACGCCGCGUGAGUGAUGACGGCCUUCGGGUUGUAAAGCUCUGUUAAUCGGGACGCGGUACCGGAAUAGAAAGCCACGGCUAACUACGUGCCAGCAGCCGCGGUAAUUC